This 20-nucleotide ribosomal RNA is filed under the name Ceropegia radicans. RNAcentral describes it as "partial 26S ribosomal RNA". Lineage: Eukaryota; Viridiplantae; Streptophyta; Magnoliopsida; Gentianales; Apocynaceae. The record is from RNAcentral.
AUUGCGACCCCAGGUCAGAC